AAUGUUAAUUUAUAUUCGAGUAUGUAUACCUACUUUAAAUACCUAGGGAACGAAAAAAUUAUUUUCGACAUUUCGAAACCCAUAUAUUAUACCCAGGAAUAAAACCACCCGCGUUAGUUUUCACUCUUUUAAAUGCUUAGUGGAGUGAGGAUUGUGUUGGUUUUAAUGUGAUGUAUCUAUGAUGUGUGGUGUUUUUUUUUUUGACGUAACUUUUCUACCAAUAAUUUUUUCAAUGCUUCGUUCUCCGAAGACGGAGAAAUGAUUGCAUCACUGACAUGUGACGUAAAAAACAUAAAAAACUUCACUCUCCGUAGCAGCCAUCACACAGUGGUACAUUUGCGCGUCCAACCCGACACGGGCUGUAACGAACAGUGAUUCGAUUUGUUUGAAUCAUAAUUAUAUUCCGGGUUCGUACACCAGAACGCUGAUAUUUUGAAAAAAACGUCUACUUCAGGUAUUAUAACUUUGACACUCACGGUCGCAUUUAUCGUUAUAUCUAAGGAUCAAAAUCCCAGAAAAUUUCGGAUAAAGAUCCG
Cinara cedri is the source of this 536-nucleotide non-coding RNA. The record is from the annotation of a GenBank genome assembly. NCBI's taxonomy places the organism in Eukaryota, Metazoa, Arthropoda, Insecta, Hemiptera, Aphididae.